This 1133-nucleotide long non-coding RNA is filed under the name Mytilus galloprovincialis (Mediterranean mussel). Lineage: Eukaryota; Metazoa; Mollusca; Bivalvia; Mytilida; Mytilidae. The record is from RNAcentral.
GAGAUGUGAUAACAAGGAAAACAGUGUUUGGGGAGAUAACUCCUACAAAGAAAAGUAUUCGUUUAUGCAGGGUAAAUUUCAAAAGCGCAUAAACUGUUCGAUAUCAUAUACAAAAUAUCUAAGCGACAUAUUGCGAAACAAAUGUUUAUCGCAAGAACAAAAUUAGGCGGAAGAAAAAAAAAAAAAUAGUCAGAAGAAAAACAAUAGGUCUUUCCACAGAAAAGUGGAAAGACCUAAUAAUAAUAAACAGAAGAAAUACAGUAAGGUCUUUCCCUUUUGUAAAAGGAAAGACCUUAAUAAUCAGAAGAAAACCAAUAGGUCUUUCCACGGAAAAGUGGAAAGACCUAAUAAUAAUAAUAAUCAGAAGAAAUCCAAUAGGUCUUUCCACGGAAAAGUGGAAAGACCUAAUAAUAAUAAUAAUCAGAAGAAAUCCAAUAGGUCUUUCCACGGAAAGGUGGAAAGACCUAAUAAUCAGAACAAAUACAAUAGGUCUUUCAACUGAAAGGUUGAAAGACCUAAUAAUCAGAAGAAAUCCAAUAGGUCUUUCCACGGAAAAGUGGAAAGACCUAAUAAUUAAAAACCAAUUGUUCAAAGAACAAUUGAAGGUCUUUCAACCAAUAAGGAUCUAUUUUGAUAUGAAAAUAUUAAGAUUCAGUUGAAAAUGUCAGUUGCUAUGGCUUUAUGAUAUGAAAAUAUGAAUUUCGAGCAAAGGUCAAAAUCUAGAACGUCCAAUUAACCUAUGACCUUGACCCCAAUUUCAAGGUCAUAAACCAAGGAUCCCAAAUCAAAAGACCCUAGGUCAGUAGUAUGUAUGGUUCAUGAGUAAUAUCACUUUAUGCAUAAUUCUAAAUAUAAGAGGGGCAAAAACUCCCGUUUAUUGUCUACGCACCCUAUCAAUCAAAAAUUCUAAGUUACGACAUGUCGCAACUAACAAUUUAGUAAAAAGAAUUUGUCGAAAUCUUAUAAAGUUAACGAGAAUAAGUGAAAAUAAGCCAAAAUCAAAAUUUAGAAUUUGACCUUGACCUAAUUUUCAUUUUUUGGACCAAGGAUCUUAAAUCAAAAGACCCUAGGUCUCUAUCACUUAUAGUUUACCAGUUAGAAAUGCAUAUCACUGAUAUCAUAUAUAAAAGGGG